UACGGAGGGUGCGAGCGUUGUCCGGAAUUACUGGGCGUAAAGCGCACGUAGGUGGCGACGUAAGUCGGGUGUGAAAGCCCCGGGCUCAACCUGGGAAUUGCAUUCGAGACUGCAUUGCUGGAGUACGGAAGAGGAAGGCGGAAUUCCCGGUGUAGCGGUGAAAUGCGUAGAUAUCGGGAGGAACAUCAGUGGCGAAGGCGGCCUACUGGUCCAGUACUGACACUCAAGUGCGAAAGCGUGGGGAGCAAACAGG
RNAcentral lists this ribosomal RNA (253 nucleotides) under uncultured bacterium. RNAcentral's name for it is "partial 16S ribosomal RNA". It matches the Rfam family "Bacterial small subunit ribosomal RNA", at positions 524 to 776 of the family's 1533-position model. The record is from RNAcentral.